Molecule: ribosomal RNA, 490 nt
Filed under: uncultured bacterium
Lineage: Bacteria
Description: partial 16S ribosomal RNA
Rfam family: Bacterial small subunit ribosomal RNA
Source: RNAcentral
AUUGAACGCUGGCGGCAGGCCUAACACAUGCAAGUCGAACGGUAACAGGAAGAAGCUUGCUUCUUUGCUGACGAGUGGCGGACGGGUGAGUAAUGUCUGGGAAACUGCCUGAUGGAGGGGGAUAACUACUGGAAACGGUAGUUAAUACCGCAUAACGUCGCAAGACCAAAGAGGGGGACCUUCGGGCCUCUUGCCAUCGGAUGUGCCCAGAUGGGAUUAGCUAGUAGGUGGGGUAACGGCUCACCUAGGCGACGAUCCCUAGCUGGUCUGAGAGGAUGACCAGACACACUGGAACUGAGACACGGUCCAGACUCCGACGGGAGGCAGCAGUGGGGAAUAUUGCACAAGGGGCGCAAGCCUGAUGCAGCCAUGCCGCGUAUAUGAAGAAGGCCUUCGGGUUGUAAAGUACUUUCAGCGGGGAGGAAGGGAGUAAAGUUAAUACCUUUACUCAUUGACGUUACCCGCAGAAGAAGCACCGGCUAACUCCGUG